GAUGAAGAACGCAGCGAAAUGCGAUAAGUAAUGUGAAUUGCAGAAUUCAGUGAAUCAUCGAAUCUUUGAACGCACAUUGCGCCCGCCAGUAUUCUGGCGGGCAUGCCUGUCUGAGCGUCAUUUCAACCCUCAUGCCCCUAGGGCGUGGUGUUGGGGAUCGGCCAAAGCCCGCGAGGGACGGCCGGCCCCUAAAUCUAGUGGCGGACCCGUCGUGGCCUCCUCUGCGAAGUAGUGAUAUUCCGCAUCGGAGAGCGACGAGCCCCUGCCGUUAAACCCCCAACUUUCCAAGGUUGACCUCAGAUCAGGUAGGAAUACCCGCUGAACUUAAGCAUAUCAAAGCGGAGGA
This 346-nucleotide unclassified non-coding RNA is filed under the name soil metagenome. Its description in RNAcentral is "partial contains 5.8S ribosomal RNA, internal transcribed spacer 2, and large subunit ribosomal RNA". The stretch from base 1 to 120 matches the Rfam family "5.8S ribosomal RNA", at positions 35 to 154 of the family's 154-position model. The record is from RNAcentral.